RNAcentral lists this ribosomal RNA (496 nucleotides) under uncultured bacterium. RNAcentral describes it as "partial 16S ribosomal RNA". It matches the Rfam family "Bacterial small subunit ribosomal RNA", at positions 29 to 507 of the family's 1533-position model. The record is from RNAcentral.
AUGAACGCUGGCGGCGUGCCUAAUACAUGCCAGUCGAGCGAACAGAUAAGGAGCUUGCUCCUUUGACGUUAGCGGCGGACGGGUGAGUAACACGUGGGUAACCUACCUAUAAGACUGGGAUAACUUCGGGAAACCGGAGCUAAUACCGGAUAACAUUUGGAACCGCAUGGUUCUAAAGUGAAAGAUGGUUUUGCUAUCACUUAUAGAUGGACCCGCGCCGUAUUAGCUAGUUGGUAAGGUAACGGCUUACCAAGGCGACGAUACGUAGCCGACCUGAGAGGGUGAUCGGCCACACUGGAACUGAGACACGGUCCAGACUCCUACGAGAGGCAGCAGUAGGGAAUCUUCCGCAAUGGGCGAAAGCCUGACGGAGCAACGCCGCGUGAGUGAUGAAGGGGUUCGGCUCGUAAAACUCUGUUAUUAGGGAAGAACAAACGUGUAAGUAACUGUGCACGUCUUGACGGUACCUAAUCAGAAAGCCACGGCUAACUACGUG